AGAGCACAGGGAUUGCCCUAGUAACGGCGAGUGAAGCGGCAACAGCUCAAAUUUGAAAUCUGGCCCUAGCGGUCCGAAUUGUAAUUUGUAGAGGAUGCUUUUGGUGCGGUGCCUUCCGAGUUCCCUGGAACGGGACGCCGGAGAGGGUGAGAGCCCCGUACGGUUGGACACCUAGCCUCUGUAUAGCUCCUUCAACGAGUCGAGUAGUUUGGGAAUGCUGCUCUAAAUGGGAGGUAAAUUUCUUCUAAAGCUAAAUACCGGCCAGAGACCGAUAGCGCACAAGUAGAGUGAUCGAAAGAUGAAAAGCACUUUGAAAAGAGGGUUAAAUAGCACGUGAAAUUGUUGAAAGGGAAGCGUUUGCGACCAGACCUUUUCCGGGCGGAUCAUCCGGCGUUCUCGCCGGUGCACUUCGUCCGGUUUAGGCCAGCAUCGGUUUCCUUAGGGGGAUAAAGGCUUGGGGAACGUAGCUCUUUAGGGAGUGUUAUAGCCCCUCGCGUAAUACCCUUCGGGGGACCGAGGACCGCGCUCUGCAAGGAUGCUGGCGUAAUGGUCGUCAACGACCCGUCUUGAAACACGGACCAAGGAGUCGAACAUUUGUGCGAGUGUUUGGGUGUUAAACCCUCACGCGUAAUGAAAGUGAACGGAGGUGAGAGCCCUUACGGGUGCAUCAUCGACCGAUCCUGAUGUCUUCGGAUGGAUUUGAGUAAGAGCAUAACUGUUCGGACCCGAAAGAUGGUGAACUAUGCGUGGAUAGGGUGAAGCCAGAGGAAACUCUGGUGGAGGCUCGCAGCGGUUCUGACGUGCAAAUCGAUCGUCAAAUCUGCGCAUGGGGGCGAAAGACUUAUCGAACCAUCUAGUAGCUGGGUACCGCCGAGCCCUCCCUCUGGGGAAUA
RNAcentral lists this ribosomal RNA (893 nucleotides) under Hypoxylon pulicicidum. RNAcentral describes it as "partial large subunit ribosomal RNA". It matches the Rfam family "Eukaryotic large subunit ribosomal RNA", at positions 62 to 983 of the family's 3401-position model. Lineage: Eukaryota; Fungi; Ascomycota; Sordariomycetes; Xylariales; Hypoxylaceae. The record is from RNAcentral.